Molecule: long non-coding RNA, 212 nt
Organism: Gavialis gangeticus (Gharial)
Lineage: Eukaryota; Metazoa; Chordata; Crocodylia; Gavialidae
Exons: 3
Source: RefSeq, a predicted model, not a curated record
CAGCCAAGACAGGGGACAAGCACAAGAGGUACCCAGUCAAAAAUCCCCAGAAGACAAAAGGACAAAACCCAGUGAAGGAAGUAGUGCACUGCACUCUGAGCAGGCUAAAGGAUGAGCAGUUCCACACCUCCUCAACACUCCUGGCAUUCACAACAAGGAAAAGAUUAUGCAUAAAGUAGUUCCAAUUGGGGCUCCAAACCAGUGCAUCAAGA